CUUCUUGCCUCUUCUCUUUUUUGAGCCUUUUCUUUUUUCUUUCUUCGUGUCCAGACAAAUUUUCUUUUUGCCACUCCUAUAAACACAAAAGUCCAAGACUGACUGACUGAGUGAUAAAGUGUUGCCUGUAUCCGUCUCAAAUAGCCCUCAUUUCAAAUAGCUUCAUAUUAAAAGCCCUCCAGCAUUUCAUACAUGGUCCAGCCAUGCAGGUCUGAGGUCAUGGCAACAUUCCAGAUUUUGGCGAGAGUCUCUGUAUUUUUAACCAUUUCUCCCGCUGUGCUCCUGAUUGGUAAUUACUCCUGUUAACCUGCUGAUUUCAUAUUUUUUUCCCUAAAUGUAUGUGUUUCUGACACUGUACAGCGUGUGUGCGCAGCUGCUCUCUGUGAAUCCUGAAAAUGCCAUCACAUUCAUUCAAAUUCAUCACAUCUUAUGUACCCAAAAUCGGCGUAUCUCACAGUCAAACCAGAAACACAAUAGAAAAUUUCUUAAAAUACUUUCAGACACUUAAAAUACUAUAGACACUUUCAGUAUAUACUAGUGAUGUCACCAUAUUACAAUUACCUCUGAAGUUCCACUACUGUCAAUACCCACUUUCAUACCAUGCCAAAACAAGAAAUCCCAUUCAGGACAAACUCCUUUAUUUAAAAACUUUUUUUAUAAACAUUAACAAUUGAACAGAAACUUUGUGUGUUUCAUUAUUUAACUAUACAGUCUGCAUUAGAAUAAGAGUUACAAAUUAAAUAUUGGCCUGUAGCCUUCAAGUAGAAAGCAAAGCAGCCCAAAAACAGUAAUUUCAAAUUAGAGGAACUGUAUGAAAUGUGAUGCUGUAACAACAAAUACAGCUGUGUGAUUAUGUGCCCUCAUUUUGGUUUGCAAUCUUGUAGGUAUGACUGAAACUUUAAGUGUUUCAGCAUUUAAACACACACACUGGCUAUAUUAGAAUAAUAACUGAGUUCAGUAUCAUUUUAUAAAUACUGGUAUUGAUUUGGUAUCUAUGUGUCUAUGGUAUCCAUUAAUUGAUUCUUGUGACAUCCCUAAUUAUAUCCACUCUGUAAUGUGAUUAUCAAGUUGUUCUUCACUUCUUAUCAAUGUAAGUUCUUUGUAACAGGUAGACUAGCGUGGCCAUGCUGGCCUGUACCAUCUGACCAGUUACACCAUCAUGGCCAUGCUGGUCUGCCAUCAACUGACCAGUUACACCAGCACUACCAACCUGGCUGCUCACCUCUCAACCAGCUACACAAAACUGCUGUACCGGCUGAUCACCAGUUACACCAGCUUAAACAAGCUGGCCCACCAGGUAAAUCCAGCAAGACCAGCUAAUGACCAGCUAAGGUUUGAAGCUGGUACUAGCUGGAUUUCACAGUAGGGAUGCUAGCGUUAGCUAACAGACGGAGCAGUAUGCUGCAGUGUUUUCCCCGAGACAACUUCAACGGCAAGUAAACACUAAUGUCAUGUAUAAGAUAUUGUUUGUGGCUAACAUUAUUACAAUGGAUGUGCGCAAUCUCAUCUAUGUUUUAUUGCUGGGGUUUGCCAGCAUUAGCGUCUAACGUAGGCCUGUUUGUGUAAACAGAUGUAGCUUAUCUGAUGCCACUUAAUAUGGGUCAGCAGGGAACAAACACGUUAUUAUCAACAGGCUGUUCAGAUCUGUUUGUUAGUGACACCAUAGACUGUAUGUUAAUGACAGCAGCCUGCAUGAUAAACUAUAUUUUCAGUUAGCAACCUGCACCAGACUGCAUGCUAUGUCAGUCACAGUCAGCCAACACAUCAGGUGAAUGAUAGCAGGUAAUAUGACAGUAAAGUUAUAUUUGUGGGUGAUCAGUAAAACUUACACCAGUAAGUUUUGUUAUGGUGGUUGUAUAAAUUUCUGUGUCGUAUUUAGAGUGAGCUGUCAUCUGAUCAUCUACUGAACAGAUUCCUCCAUCUGCCACAGUGAGAGCCACCAGUAUCUAACCCAGUAGCACCCACAAGGACGUGCCCACAGUCCAAAGCCUGAUCCGGGCUCUUUCACUUCCCACUGGUGACGCUACACCAAACAACUCUGUACCUGCUGAGAUGACACCUCUCCCACGACAAAACACGUCAACAGUAGAUAUGCAUCAACAACAGUCCAACAAAGGAUGUGUGUCCUGUCAAAACUUUGAACUCUACAGUGUCCCACAAUAUAGAAAUACCAACUGAGUCACUGAAAGAGAAACUGGAUUUUCAUAUAUUAAGGAUUUUGGCAUGCAUAAUUUCACUUAUAAAAGUUCACCAAUUCUGGUUUUGCUGUAACAAUCAGGUAUUUAACAUUAUGUUCCACUACGACACUGUCUGUAACCUGUAUAGUACAUUUCCAGCCAGCUAAGAUGAUUAUUGUUUACUGACAUCAGACAUCUUGUUAAAUUACAAUAUAAUGUCACUUUAAAUCAUCAUCUAUCAAUAAUGUUGUGGAGCACAUACUUUAUUCUCUAUACAAACUCUACUACACGUUGACUUUUAUGUUGCUUUAUCAUUUAUUGAGAUCUCAUGCAUGUACUGUAACUCCAUAUAAUAAGUUUUCAGUGAUUAAUUAGUCAGUUCCUGAAAAAAACAUACACAUGGUUGGUUUAAACAGUUUGAAAUUUGCUGGUGUUAGCUUAGUUAUUUUCAUAACUCAGAAACCCUUAAGAAGGUGAGAUGUGUUGAAAUAUUAUCUACAGGAUGUAAAAAUUAAAACACUGAAUCACUGUUAUGAGUGCACUCUUCUCUCCUUUGUUUAUAACUUAGACCUUAGAAACACACACAAAGCCACUUUGGUCUAAAAAAGUGACAGAUCUCAGUUGUGAAUGCUAAAGAUACUAUUUGCAUUUCAAGGCCCACAUUGUAGUCUACAUCAUAGCAGAAUCAAGGCUGAUGCCCUCCACAUGUAUAUCGAAUCGUUGGCUGUCCACCGCCCUUGAAGGUAGUUCACAGUGGUUUCUCACAGAUGUCAGGGAGCCGCUUCAGGCUCUGGUUUUGCAGGAUGUACAAAUGUAGGCUGCAGUCAAUGGGCUUCAUUCACAAACAGUGUGUAUUAGAGAUGCACUGAUUUUCUUGGCUGAUUCUGAAUUCCAAUUUUUCAAAUGUCUGACCUGCCAAUUCCGAUUUUUACCGAUUCUGAUUUUCUUUCUUUAUAA
Long non-coding RNA from Thunnus maccoyii (southern bluefin tuna), 3134 nucleotides. RefSeq lists it as uncharacterized. Lineage: Eukaryota; Metazoa; Chordata; Actinopteri; Scombriformes; Scombridae. The record is from RefSeq and is a predicted model, not a curated record. The transcript is spliced from 3 exons.